CUUCUUUGACAUCUAUCCCUUGGAGGCUUUUGUUCUAUUGGCAUAAUUGUCGAGUUUUACUAUCAUCCAUGCAGGUUUAGAUUUCUCAUAUUUUUAGAGAGGGUAAUCAAGUUGUUGAUUGAUUGGCCAAUUAUGGUGUUGAUCACCCUAGUGUCCAUUGGUGGGAUUCAUGCCCUCCUUGUGCUGCAGCUCCUUAUUCUCACAAACCUUUAUAAGCUUCGUUGUUAUAGGUUUUGCUGAAUGAGGUUUUGAAUUGUUGUUAUGAAUUCUUUAAUGGUCCGAGUUUGGCCUCAUGUCCCCCUUGACAUAUUGUAUCUUUCUUGUUUAUCAAUAAAUUCUCCUCAAAGUCACUUCCCAUGAUAGCAAUGUUGGAGUGAGUUGGACUUUACGGCCAAAAAAAAAAAAAAAAAAAGUUAAACUGUUAGUUGUUAAGGAUGAGAAUCUUUGAGAAUCGAACAUACAUCAAAAUACAAAAAUAUAAUUACUUUUUGCCACUAUAAUAAAGUGUCAUCUACUUAACGAAAACGUUAGUUGAACAUCAAGCAGUCCCUUUCUCCUUUCAUGUUCAAUUCGCUUCUUGUACGGUCUUUCAUUUUUCCUUCUUUUUUCCCCCCUUUCUCUUACCAUGUUCAAUUUGCUUCUUGUACGACCUUUCGGUUUUUUCAUUUUUUUUUUCUCGAAUGCAAAUUGCAAAGCAUUACUAGAACAAACAUAUAAUUUUGUCACUAGUUUAUCCUUGAGAUCAAACAAUUUUAAGUUGGAGUUGAGAGGUCAAAAUUGUCAAUCUGUGCUACUAUACCUUCACUCGAGAAAGUUAACAGAGCAAAUAAUUAUAUGUGCACUUUAUUUUGUAGGGAUUUCCCUCCCUCUAUUACCUCUUUGCUUUUGCUUUCUUCCUAAUCAUACUGGUCUUCCACCACCACCACCACCAAAUAACAUAAUUCUCUCACAACCCUUCUUCCCCACUUGAACAACUUGCUCUCAACACAGAAGCACUGAAGACUGGGAGUUUCCUUCACGCCAGCCAUAACUCUCUGCUGUGUGCGAGUCGGUGUCUUACUUCCCUGAUGCUGAAAGUACGGACAUUACUCUACACUUCCUAGAGAUGUGUUUGUCUUUGACACAAGCGAUAGUGGGGGAGGGGAACAAGUAACCUCAGAUGCAAAGGCAUUGUAACAGAAAUCUGAUGAGUUGCCGAACAAGUUUUAAUUUGAGGUGAUUUACCAUUCACGUGGACUUCCUUGGUGCUAUUCACAUUAUUCUGGUCUGGCAGAUUCUCUACAUUGUGGACAUUCUGAAUCAA
This is a long non-coding RNA of Pyrus x bretschneideri (Chinese white pear), 1303 nucleotides long. RefSeq lists it as uncharacterized. The transcript has 3 exons. The record is from RefSeq and is a predicted model, not a curated record. NCBI's taxonomy places the organism in Eukaryota, Viridiplantae, Streptophyta, Magnoliopsida, Rosales, Rosaceae.